Molecule: ribosomal RNA, 2923 nt
Filed under: Staphylococcus aureus
Lineage: Bacteria; Bacillati; Bacillota; Bacilli; Caryophanales; Staphylococcaceae
Description: 23S ribosomal RNA
Rfam family: Bacterial large subunit ribosomal RNA
Source: RNAcentral
GAUUAAGUUAUUAAGGGCGCACGGUGGAUGCCUUGGCACUAGAAGCCGAUGAAGGACGUUACUAACGACGAUAUGCUUUGGGGAGCUGUAAGUAAGCUUUGAUCCAGAGAUUUCCGAAUGGGGAAACCCAGCAUGAGUUAUGUCAUGUUAUCGAUAUGUGAAUACAUAGCAUAUCAGAAGGCACACCCGGAGAACUGAAACAUCUUAGUACCCGGAGGAAGAGAAAGAAAAUUCGAUUCCCUUAGUAGCGGCGAGCGAAACGGGAAGAGCCCAAACCAACAAGCUUGCUUGUUGGGGUUGUAGGACACUCUAUACGGAGUUACAAAGGACGACAUUAGACGAAUCAUCUGGAAAGAUGAAUCAAAGAAGGUAAUAAUCCUGUAGUCGAAAAUGUUGUCUCUCUUGAGUGGAUCCUGAGUACGACGGAGCACGUGAAAUUCCGUCGGAAUCUGGGAGGACCAUCUCCUAAGGCUAAAUACUCUCUAGUGACCGAUAGUGAACCAGUACCGUGAGGGAAAGGUGAAAAGCACCCCGGAAGGGGAGUGAAAUAGAACCUGAAACCGUGUGCUUACAAGUAGUCAGAGCCCGUUAAUGGGUGAUGGCGUGCCUUUUGUAGAAUGAACCGGCGAGUUACGAUUUGAUGCAAGGUUAAGCAGUAAAUGUGGAGCCGUAGCGAAAGCGAGUCUGAAUAGGGCGUUUAGUAUUUGGUCGUAGACCCGAAACCAGGUGAUCUACCCUUGGUCAGGUUGAAGUUCAGGUAACACUGAAUGGAGGACCGAACCGACUUACGUUGAAAAGUGAGCGGAUGAACUGAGGGUAGCGGAGAAAUUCCAAUCGAACCUGGAGAUAGCUGGUUCUCUCCGAAAUAGCUUUAGGGCUAGCCUCAAGUGAUGAUUAUUGGAGGUAGAGCACUGUUUGGACGAGGGGCCCCUCUCGGGUUACCGAAUUCAGACAAACUCCGAAUGCCAAUUAAUUUAACUUGGGAGUCAGAACAUGGGUGAUAAGGUCCGUGUUCGAAAGGGAAACAGCCCAGACCACCAGCUAAGGUCCCAAAAUAUAUGUUAAGUGGAAAAGGAUGUGGCGUUGCCCAGACAACUAGGAUGUUGGCUUAGAAGCAGCCAUCAUUUAAAGAGUGCGUAAUAGCUCACUAGUCGAGUGACACUGCGCCGAAAAUGUACCGGGGCUAAACAUAUUACCGAAGCUGUGGAUUGUCCUUUGGACAAUGGUAGGAGAGCGUUCUAAGGGUGUUGAAGCAUGAUCGUAAGGACAUGUGGAGCGCUUAGAAGUGAGAAUGCCGGUGUGAGUAGCGAAAGACGGGUGAGAAUCCCGUCCACCGAUUGACUAAGGUUUCCAGAGGAAGGCUCGUCCGCUCUGGGUUAGUCGGGUCCUAAGCUGAGGCCGACAGGCGUAGGCGAUGGAUAACAGGUUGAUAUUCCUGUACCACCUAUAAUCGUUUUAAUCGAUGGGGGGACGCAGUAGGAUAGGCGAAGCGUGCGAUUGGAUUGCACGUCUAAGCAGUAAGGCUGAGUAUUAGGCAAAUCCGGUACUCGUUAAGGCUGAGCUGUGAUGGGGAGAAGACAUUGUGUCUUCGAGUCGUUGAUUUCACACUGCCGAGAAAAGCCUCUAGAUAGAAAAUAGGUGCCCGUACCGCAAACCGACACAGGUAGUCAAGAUGAGAAUUCUAAGGUGAGCGAGCGAACUCUCGUUAAGGAACUCGGCAAAAUGACCCCGUAACUUCGGGAGAAGGGGUGCUCUUUAGGGUUAACGCCCAGAAGAGCCGCAGUGAAUAGGCCCAAGCGACUGUUUAUCAAAAACACAGGUCUCUGCUAAACCGUAAGGUGAUGUAUAGGGGCUGACGCCUGCCCGGUGCUGGAAGGUUAAGAGGAGUGGUUAGCUUCUGCGAAGCUACGAAUCGAAGCCCCAGUAAACGGCGGCCGUAACUAUAACGGUCCUAAGGUAGCGAAAUUCCUUGUCGGGUAAGUUCCGACCCGCACGAAAGGCGUAACGAUUUGGGCACUGUCUCAACGAGAGACUCGGUGAAAUCAUAGUACCUGUGAAGAUGCAGGUUACCCGCGACAGGACGGAAAGACCCCGUGGAGCUUUACUGUAGCCUGAUAUUGAAAUUCGGCACAGCUUGUACAGGAUAGGUAGGAGCCUUUGAAACGUGAGCGCUAGCUUACGUGGAGGCGCUGGUGGGAUACUACCCUAGCUGUGUUGGCUUUCUAACCCGCACCACUUAUCGUGGUGGGAGACAGUGUCAGGCGGGCAGUUUGACUGGGGCGGUCGCCUCCUAAAAGGUAACGGAGGCGCUCAAAGGUUCCCUCAGAAUGGUUGGAAAUCAUUCAUAGAGUGUAAAGGCAUAAGGGAGCUUGACUGCGAGACCUACAAGUCGAGCAGGGUCGAAAGACGGACUUAGUGAUCCGGUGGUUCCGCAUGGAAGGGCCAUCGCUCAACGGAUAAAAGCUACCCCGGGGAUAACAGGCUUAUCUCCCCCAAGAGUUCACAUCGACGGGGAGGUUUGGCACCUCGAUGUCGGCUCAUCGCAUCCUGGGGCUGUAGUCGGUCCCAAGGGUUGGGCUGUUCGCCCAUUAAAGCGGUACGCGAGCUGGGUUCAGAACGUCGUGAGACAGUUCGGUCCCUAUCCGUCGUGGGCGUAGGAAAUUUGAGAGGAGCUGUCCUUAGUACGAGAGGACCGGGAUGGACAUACCUCUGGUGUACCAGUUGUCGUGCCAACGGCAUAGCUGGGUAGCUAUGUGUGGACGGGAUAAGUGCUGAAAGCAUCUAAGCAUGAAGCCCCCCUCAAGAUGAGAUUUCCCAACUUCGGUUAUAAGAUCCCUCAAAGAUGAUGAGGUUAAUAGGUUCGAGGUGGAAGCAUGGUGACAUGUGGAGCUGACGAAUACUAAUCGAUCGAAGACUUAAUCAA